Long non-coding RNA from Carlito syrichta (Philippine tarsier), 1893 nucleotides. RefSeq lists it as uncharacterized. The record is from RefSeq and is a predicted model, not a curated record. The transcript is spliced from 2 exons. Lineage: Eukaryota; Metazoa; Chordata; Mammalia; Primates; Tarsiidae.
UAAAACAUUCAACUUUAUGGUAAGUUGUCAAAGCACACCUUUCAUUUUACUUUUUCAAUUUGUUUUAGGAGCUCUUUGUUCAAUUUCUAGCCACCUAUUCCUACAGACAUGGCAGUGGAAAGGAGAAGAAAGCACUGACUUACAAUGAUUUAGCCAAUACUGCAGAGGAAUCGGAAACUUUUCAGUUUCUUGCAGAUAUAUUGCCAAAGAAGAUUUUAGCUAGUAAAUACCUGAAAAUGCUUAAAGAGGAAAAGAGGGAAGAAGAUGAGAAUGAUGAUGGUGAAAAUGACAAUGACGAAGCUGAAUCGUAACCCAAAAAAAUGCUUUGCAAAUCAGCCUGGCGAGAACCUUCCUGGAUCAGCAUCACUGCUUUGAAGUAAACACAACACAGCGUGCCUUUAGUCUUUCACUUUUUCAGAGACUUCUAGCGUGUUGUGUUCUUUCUGAGCUAAGGUAGAGCAAACAGCCCAAGGACCCAGACAGCAGCCUGUCUCUGACAGGCCCACAUAGCAGUUGGUCACCAGGAAGGCCCCCUGCACAGGUGGCCACAAGCAGUUAAUUGGUCUGCUGCAGCUCCAGACUGUAUAGAGGCAAAGACAAAAGAUUUUGCUUAACUUUAAAAUUUACAAAUAGAUUUCUGAAGAGCUUCUAUAUAUCAGUUAUGUAAAUGCAUACAUGUAUAUUUUGGAAUUGGUUCAUGUAAGCAACAUGAUUCAGUUUUUGCUAAAUGUGCAGUUUAUAGGUAGUAUGUUACAUUUGAAUUUUUGUAUUUUAAGAAAUUUCUUUGACUAUUCAAAUCUUUUUCUAUUGUAAAGACAUGCUUUCCUAUUAAAGAUCUAUACAUAUUUUUACAGUAAAAUGCUUUAUGGUACUAGUCGUAGAGGCCUCUAUUGCUCUAAUGCCUUGCUUACUGCUUGAUAAUUUUUUGAUUAAAAAAAGAAAGCAUUUCUAACAUUUUUAUUCCUAGAGAAAAAUUCCCAGCCAAUUAUCAAAAUAGACUGAGGCAGAAGAAUCUCUGAGCCCAGGAGGUUGGGGUUGCUGUGAGCUGUAAUCGUGUCAUUGCACUGCAGCCCUGGGUGACAGAGUGAGACCCUGACUCAAAAAAAACAAAACAAACUAAAAUAAAAUAUUAACUCUGCAUAAGCAUAUUGCUCUUAAAUAAUUUUUGCAACAUUUUAUGUAUUGAAGCUAUCUUUUGUCUUACUGUUCUUUGCUUUAAAUCCCUGAUACUUGUUUUUACUGUCUACAAGAGAAAAGCAGAAACCCAUUUUUUAAAAAAAACAGGGUAAAUGUUUGGCUCCUGUCUUUUCAGUAUAUCUCUCUUUUAUAAAAAAGAGUUAUAAUUUACAUCCAGGAAAAUCACCCUUUUAGUGUCUAGUCUGUGAAUGUUGACAAAUGCUUAGUUUUGGAACCAGUCAAUACACAGAACAGUUUCAUUUCCCAAAAUAUGCCCCUGUGCCCUCUUGUAGUCAGUCUUUUCUCCUACCCUCUGGCAACAACCACUGAUGUUUUUUAGUACCUCAUGUUUAUCAAAACUUAUUUUAAAAUAAAAUUUUUUAAAAUCUACAUGUGGUGUAUAGUUUUAAGUUCUGACAUAUGCAAUCAUGUAACCACCACCACAAUUAAGAUACAACAGUUCUGUCACCCUCCAGAAAAUUCCCUUGUGGUCUAAUCCAUCCACACCUAUUGCCCUGACAAUCAUAGAGCUAUUCUGUCCCUGUAACAGGAGUCAGCAAAUUUUUUCUGGAAAGGGCCAUGUAGUAAAUAUCUAAAGCAUCGUGGACUAUAUAAUCUUUUUUGCAAUUACUAAAUUCUGCCAUUGUACAGAAAUAGCCAUAGAUAAUGUGUAAAGGAAUGAAUUGACUGUAUUUCAAUAGAACUUUAUUUCUGGAA